CCCUAUUUUACCGUGUAUCCUCAACUGUGUAAUUAUCCCUCCACAAAAAUACAAAAAAUAACAAACCCAUAAAAAAAUUAACUACCCCAUAUCCCACCUACCCUACCCCUACCACGUCAUAGUUUUGUUCCUUUCUUUUCCAUAACAAACAAAGAAAAAUGGGGAACCACCGUAACAAAUUUAAACUCGGACCUCACCAUUGUUUACUCACAGAUAUCACACACUCAUCACACAACAUACCAUCACAUAUAUAGGCAUAUAAUAAAAAAACAAAAAAAAAGAAAAAAAGGGGCCCACAGAUUUGGAUCCAUUCUUCACAUAUAUACACCUAAUCAUCAUCUUCAUUGGGGAGGGGGUGGGGCGCAUACACCAUUUCUUUUUCUUUUUCUUUGUUCAUAAAUACACACUGCCAGAUACCCUUUCUUCCAUUUAUUUGGGUAUAGGACCAUACGCACCAUUUUAGCACACACUCAUUCACCUUCUUCUUCACGGGAAUCACACAUACCCUUGUGAGAAAUACGGGAACUAAGAAUCCAAUGAAGGGCGAGACAGAUCGGAGAAAGAGAGUGAGAAUAGAUAUAGAGAGAGAACUGGUGGUGGUAGACUAUUCCGGAGAUUCACCGUUGGAAAAAGCUUCAUCGAUGCUCGAAAUUUGAUCUGAUUUUUCUAGUUCUAUUCCUUCUGAGCUCGUCGGAGUUCGUCAGCUCCGUUCCAUUUCGGGUAAUGCUGAAACGGACGACCCAGCUCGUAAAUCCCCAAAUUUCUCCAUUUUCCGGUGGUUUCUAGGCUAACCCGGCCGGAAAACACUAAAAGUCAUCGGAAUCAACCUUUCUCGUUGAUAUUUGCGACUGUCCGAGUUCACCGGAGCUCCGGGCACGUAGUUUACUUGGUUUUCUUGUGAUCCUCAUUUUUUUGGGUUUAUUGUUCGUCGUGAUUUCGGGGAUUCGAAUUGGAUUUUGAAGACUAUGAUGUUGGAGUUUGAUCAUAGUUGGGAUUGUGGUAUUCUUUGAUGCUCCAGAACGGCUCUUAUUUCUCUUCUUGAAUCAAUCAAAAUCUUUUGAGGAAUUAUAUUUAUUCACCGGGGAAUACCCCGACGUAUGAUGUACUCGGAGGACGCCCGUGAUGAAAGCCCGAAGCAUUGGGUAAGGCAUUGGAGCGUAGUUUGGUGUAGCUUAGCGUAGGUUUACUUUUCAGUACCUUUUUCAUUUCGGGUUGUAAUAAUUGGACUGUAUACUAUAUUUUGGGAUUCAU
Long non-coding RNA from Capsicum annuum, 1251 nucleotides. RefSeq lists it as uncharacterized. NCBI's taxonomy places the organism in Eukaryota, Viridiplantae, Streptophyta, Magnoliopsida, Solanales, Solanaceae. The transcript has 2 exons. The record is from RefSeq and is a predicted model, not a curated record.